AGAGUUUGAUCCUGGCUCAGAUUGAACGCUGGCGGCAGGCCUAACACAUGCAAGUCGAGCGGAUGACGGGAGCUUGCUCCCGAAUUCAGCGGCGGACGGGUGAGUAAUGCCUAGGAAUCUGCCUGGUAGUGGGGGACAACGUCUCGAAAGGGACGCUAAUACCGCAUACGUCCUACGGGAGAAAGCAGGGGACCUUCGGGCCUUGCGCUAUCAGAUGAGCCUAGGUCGGAUUAGCUAGUUGGUGAGGUAAUGGCUCACCAAGGCGACGAUCCGUAACUGGUCUGAGAGGAUGAUCAGUCACACUGGAACUGAGACACGGUCCAGACUCCUACGGGAGGCAGCAGUGGGGAAUAUUGGACAAUGGGCGAAAGCCUGAUCCAGCCAUGCCGCGUGUGUGAAGAAGGUCUUCGGAUUGUAAAGCACUUUAAGUUGGGAGGAAGGGCAGUAAAUUAAUACUUUGCUGUUUUGACGUUACCGACAGAAUAAGCACCGGCUAACUCUGUGCCAGCCGCCGCGGUAA
This 520-nucleotide ribosomal RNA is filed under the name uncultured Pseudomonas sp. Its description in RNAcentral is "bacterial SSU rRNA". It matches the Rfam family "Bacterial small subunit ribosomal RNA", at positions 8 to 523 of the family's 1533-position model. The record is from RNAcentral. Lineage: Bacteria; Pseudomonadati; Pseudomonadota; Gammaproteobacteria; Pseudomonadales; Pseudomonadaceae.